Molecule: unclassified non-coding RNA, 303 nt
Filed under: uncultured Sordariomycetes
Lineage: Eukaryota; Fungi; Ascomycota; Sordariomycetes
Description: sequence contains ITS1
Rfam family: 5.8S ribosomal RNA (bases 1-105)
Source: RNAcentral
GAAAUGCGAUAAGUAAUGUGAAUUGCAGAAUUCAGUGAAUCAUCGAAUCUUUGAACGCACAUUGCGCCCGCUAGCAUCCUGGCGGGCAUGCCUGUCCGAGCGUCAUUUCAACCAUCAAGCCCCCCCGGGCUUGUGUUGGGGCACCGCGGCCGCCGCGGUCCCUGAAAACUAGUGGCGGGCUCGCUGUCACUCCGGGCGCAGUACUAUAUCUCGCUCUGGAUCGUGCGGCGGGUGCCGGCCGUUAAACACCCCCCUUCAUACAAGGUUGACCUCGGAUCAGGUAGGAAUACCCGCUGAACUUAA